UUACGGCCACAUCAAUUUGAAAUACUAGUUCCUGUACGAUCACUGAAGUUAAGCAACUUCGAGCCUGGUCAGUACAUACAUGGGUGACCGCUUGGAAAUACCAAGUGCAGUA
Non-coding RNA from Acanthosepion pharaonis, 112 nucleotides. The record is from the annotation of a GenBank genome assembly. Lineage: Eukaryota; Metazoa; Mollusca; Cephalopoda; Sepiida; Sepiidae.